CAAGCAUCAGAUCGUCGUAGUCAAUCUAUAACUAGCGACUAGGAUGAAUGAACAUCACAUUCAGUACUAUGAGAAUCAAGUCUUGGUCUGGGGGAGUAUGUCGCAAGACUGAACUAAAGAAUGACGAAGGCACACAGAGUGAGCUGCGGCGUGAGUGUGACUCACACGGGACACCUCCCCAGGUCCAGACAUAGUAAAGAAUAGACAAAAUGAUAGCUCUUUCUUGAUUCUAUGGUGUGUGCUGCCGUGCCGUUCUUAGUUGGUGGAGUGUUGUCUGGUUAAUUCCGAUAACGAACGAGACUUAACUGCUAACUAGAUUCGAUCAUCUUAUGGUCGUUAUCUUCUUAGAGGGACUAUGUAACAUAAAUACAUGGAAGUUUGAGGCAAUAACAGGUCAGAGAUGCCCUUAUAUGUCCUGGGCUGCACGCGUGCUACACUGAUGUAUACAACAAGUGCCUAGUCAGACAUGGCAUGGCAAUCUCGAAUAUGCAUCGUGAUGGGGAUAGAUCUUUGCAAUUAUAGAUCUUGAACGAGGAAUUCCUAGUAAGUGCAAGUCAUCAUCUUGCAUUGAUUAUGUCCCUGCCCUUGUACACACCGCCCGUCGCUCCUACCGAUACCGGGUGAUCCGGUGAACCUUGGACCUGCAAGGGGAAGAUA
This 657-nucleotide ribosomal RNA is filed under the name uncultured rumen protozoa. RNAcentral describes it as "bacterial SSU rRNA". It matches the Rfam family "Eukaryotic small subunit ribosomal RNA", at positions 1000 to 1731 of the family's 1831-position model. The record is from RNAcentral.